RNAcentral lists this ribosomal RNA (378 nucleotides) under uncultured bacterium. RNAcentral's name for it is "bacterial SSU rRNA". It matches the Rfam family "Bacterial small subunit ribosomal RNA", at positions 521 to 896 of the family's 1533-position model. The record is from RNAcentral.
UAAUACAGAGGUCUCGAGCGUUCAACGGAUUCAUUGGGCUUAAAGCGAACGUAGGCGGGUCUGCAGGCGUCGUGUGAAAGCCCUCGGCUCAACCGAGGAACUGCAUGGCGAACCGCAGAUCUUGAGACAAGUAGGGGCGGUCGGAACGAUAGGUGGAGUGGUGAAAUGCGUUGAUAUCUAUCGGAAUGCCGAAGGUGAAAGCAGGCCGCUGGGCUUGUUCUGACGCUGAGGUUCGAAAGCGUGGGGAGCAAACGGGAUUAGAUACCCCGGUAGUCCACGCCGUAAACGAUGCGCACUAGAUCGAGGAGGUUUUGACACCAUUCUCGGUCGAAGCAAAAGUGGUAAGUGCGCCGCCUGGGGAGUACGGUCGCAAGGCUA